AUUGAACGCUGGCGGAAUGCCUUACACAUGCAAGUCGAACGGCAGCACGGGAGCAAUCCUGGUGGCGAGUGGCGAACGGGUGAGUAAUACAUCGGAACGUGCCCAAUCGUGGGGGAUAACGUAGCGAAGCUACGCUAAUACCGCAUACGAUCUACGGAUGAAAGACAGGGGACGUCGCAAGAGCCUUGCGCGAAUGGAGCGGCCGAUGGCAGAUAGGUAGUUGGUGGGGUAAAGGCUCACCAAGCCUUCGAUCUGUAGCUGGUCUGAGAGGACGACCAGCCACACUGGGACUGAGACACGGCCCAGACUCCUACGGGAGGCAGCAGUGGGGAAUAUUGCGCAAUGGGCGAAAGCCUGACGCAGCGACGCCGCGU
Molecule: ribosomal RNA, 374 nt
Filed under: uncultured bacterium
Lineage: Bacteria
Description: bacterial SSU rRNA
Rfam family: Bacterial small subunit ribosomal RNA
Source: RNAcentral